This 574-nucleotide long non-coding RNA is filed under the name Chinchilla lanigera (long-tailed chinchilla). RNAcentral's name for it is "lncRNA (ENSCLAG00000022817.1)". Lineage: Eukaryota; Metazoa; Chordata; Mammalia; Rodentia; Chinchillidae. The record is from RNAcentral.
GGGUCUCCGGGGCCAUGCUCUGGAAGGGACUAUCUCUCUUUGUUCUCUGCUUCCCCACAGCCAUGCCAUGGGCUCCUCUCCUCCACCCUAACCCUCUGCCGCACCUUCCUGCCUCGAACCAGCUGGCCAUACAAGGCCUGAAACCUCUACAAGCUGUGAGCCAAAUAAACCUCUCUUCCUUCACAUUGUGGAAUUCGGGUACAGUGUCUCUGUGACAAGGAAAGUGACAUCAAUGGACUGUGUCUGCAGUAAUUCAGCCGAGGGCUCUGGAGCCCAUGGUCCUGGGAGUCAAGAUUCCGGAGCCUGCAUUCUUCUGAAAGGGAUCCAAGGAGGUUCUGUCUGGUUUCAUGUGAGCGAGUGGCCUGGAAAAGAUCUAGGAGCCAAGCUGGAGGAGACCACGUGGGGCUUUGCUUCUGAGGCAGCGUGCACAAGAUUUCUGAGAGUCCAGAGUGGGACAAAUGCUCCAACCUGGUUCAGCCUCAUGGACACGUACAAAGCAAGGGUCCAAGUGCCCAAUGUGACGUCCCUGAAGAUUGGGAACUUGACCCCACAGGACAGUGGGCAGGUUAACUGA